GAGGACGCUGUGACCAAACCGCCCUUUCCCCUCGCCGUGCCCGCGGGAAGCGGCAGGCGGGCAGUGGGAGGAGCGGUCCCGCCGGAGAGCCCUGUCAGUGAGGGAGGGAGGGGCCAGGGUGGGCUCCGGCGGGGUGCGCAGCCGGGGCCCGGGGCCCUGGAGCGAGCGGCCGGGAUGCGGUGCGGGAAGAUGGCGGCAGCACCGCCGCCGCCGCCAGCCGGGGCGACGGGCGCUUGGGGCGGCGUGCGGCGGCGCUGCCAGCGGCUGCUCUACUGGGUGCCGGUGCUCUUCAUCUCCAGCAUCCUCUGCUGGUCCUACUACGCCUAUGUCACCCAGCUCUGCCUGCUGACAAUGACAAAUAUCGGAGAAAAAGUUGUGUGCCUGGUUGCUUACCACAUAUUUUUCAUGCUGUUCGUCUGGUCAUAUUGGAAAACAAUCUUUACACUACCAAUGAAUCCUUCAAAAGAAUUUCAUCUAUCAUAUUCAGACAAGGAGUCCCUGGAAAGGGAGCCUAGAGGUGAAUCCCAGCAGGAAGUCUUAAGACGAGCAGCCAAGGAUCUUCCUAUCUAUACACGGACAAUGUCUGGAGCAAUCAGAUACUGUGACAGAUGCCAUCUUGUAAAACCAGAUCGUUGCCACCACUGUUCCGUAUGUGACAAAUGCAUUUUGAAAAUGGAUCAUCAUUGCCCAUGGGUGAACAACUGUGUGGGAUUCUCCAAUUACAAAUUUUUUCUUCUGUUCUUGGCUUACUCUCUGCUGUACUGCCUUUUUAUUGCUGCAACAGACUUACAGUAUUUUAUCAAGUUUUGGACAAAUGGCCUUCCUGAUACUCAAGCCAAGUUCCACAUCAUGUUUUUGUUCUUUGCUGCAGCUAUGUUUUCUGUCAGUUUGUCCUCCCUCUUUGGGUAUCAUUGUUGGCUUGUCAGCAAAAACAAGUCUACAUUAGAGGUAUUCAGAGCUCCCAUAUUUCGUCACAGAACAGACAAGAAUGGCUUUAGCUUGGGCUUCAGCAAAAACCUAAGGCAGGUGUUUGGUGAUGAGAAGAAAUACUGGUUGCUGCCUGUAUUUUCAAGUCUAGGGGAUGGUUGCUCCUUCCCAACUUGCCUUGUUAAUCAGGAUCCUGAGCAAGCUUCCACACCUGGUGGUCUUAGUUCAACAACCAAAAGUGAGAACCACUUGUUUCCUGCAAAGCCCUUGCGUGAUUCCCAGAGCCACCUUCUCACAGAUACACCCUCUUGGUCAGAAACUAGUGUGAAGGCUGAAAAGGACAAAGUUGGCAUGAGCAAUCCUGCACUAACUAUGGAAAAUGAAACCUAAUUUCCCUUGAAACAAGCAUCUGAAUAUGUAAGGAAAGUUCAAGAGGAAGCUGUCGUUGGAAGGAAGAUGCAUUUCUUCCAAAUACCAGCGCUGCUGGCCAGCUGCUCCUGCCUGCUCCUGUGUGGAUGUGCUCAGAAAACAAACCAACAAGAUGAUUAACUGUCUCUAUGUCACUGCUUGAAACAUGAAACUAAACAUACAACUUCUGAACCAUAUAAAGAAUGUUUUAACUUGAAAAUUACUGGGUUUGAAUGGUGAAGGAUGAUUCUGGGUAUUAGAAAGGGGGGGAAAAAGAGUCUGAGUUUACAGUUGUGAAAAUUCAAAGGCUGGUUUUACUUUGAUACUCAGCACAAGAACAAUGUGACCUCCUUACACAUCGGUCUGUCAUCUUGCCUUGGUUUUAAAAAUCCACCUGUUAAUUAGAAUUGCUCUAAGUAGUUGACUUUAUAAUCAAAGUUUUGCACUGCUGCCUUUAAGAACUGGGAGGAGAGCCAGUGUUGAUGAUGAAUAAUGUAGCGGCUUGGUGGACCCUAUUUUCUUUUGAGUGCUUGCUAAGCAAUUUUUGAAGAUAAGGAAAUCCAAGCAAAGUAUCUGACUGUUUUUGGAAGACAUCAUUGCAGAAGCUCUGUUUUUUCUCAGAGAUCUGCAUUAGCAGUAACCCGGAAAGCUGUGGAGGGGUAAAAAACUCCUAUGUUAAUUGAGUGCUACGGUGGAUCACUGGUAAGUGGAGCGAUUAAAAAGCUGCAUUCAGAUAGGUGAUACAGAAAUGAAGUUGGCCAGGUGGGGGGUUUGAUGGGAGCUGCACAUGAUAGUGCUGUGAAAUGAGGAUUUUAUUGUCCCGUCUGGAGCUGUUAACCUCGUUGGGAAAUUAAUGCUGGCACUUAACUUUGAUCCGAAAGGUUUUUUAUCAACCUGUGUUCCUGAGGGCCACUGUCUUUCCAAAUCUUAGAUUCUCAUUACUCGACAGUUGUCUUAGGUUUCUUUUUUCACUUGUUCUUUAAGACACUGCCUUUCUUGCUGUGUAAUUAACAAAUAUCCUGUACAGUCAAGGAGACUUACUAUUCUAACUUGUGAUACUUGCAUUUACAGGACAACAGAUGGUUGUUUGCAAUACCAAAAAGCAGAGCUGCUGCAGAUAGGAAAACCCCCUUCAAUUGAGCUAGGAGUUGGCAGCUUCCUUAGGAUCUGAGUUUAUCAGCCAGGUGAAAAACCCUGUGUCUUCAUGCUGGCAGAGCAAACACAACUGCACUCCACUGGGUGCUGUUGAAGGUCAAAAAGGUAUAAUACUGUCUGAAAGAGAGGGUUCUUCAAACCCCCACCUUGUUAUAUAGAACUGUGGAGCUGUGAGGAAGGGAAAUAUGUUACUUAACCAGGGUUGUCACCUACAGUAGCUUUGCUUCAUGAGGGCUCUUCAGUCCCUCCCAUGCCAGAUUCUUGCUGUCUGCUUGAAUUCUGCUCUUUGCUAACAGUCUAGGAAAGCACAGAAUCCUCCACUGGUGCAGAGAGGAAUGAGACCAUCUGCUCUGGGGCCUCUUGAAAUGCUGAAGGAGUUAUACAGAGAUGAAAGCAACUUUUACCUGUUCAGUUAGGACAUGACCUACACACCAUAUGCUCUGAGCAGCUCCCACUUCUUAAUUAAAAUGCUUUUAGAAAUAUUUAUAUUGAACCAUAUACAAAUAUUAUCCAAAACAAGGAGAUUAAAAAUAAACCCCAAAACCAUACUGCUAUGCUAGAGAGGUGGCAGUGUGUCUUUCUUGUCACUUCACUUGCACUAUCCCUUGUUCAUCUGUGACCUGACAAGACACCAGUUAAAACGGCAGCCUUCUGGGGUGAAAUUUAGAGCAAGUGGCAUCUGACACAAGCUAAGGAAAGCCUUCCCUACUUGCUUUGCAGUUUUUCAGUUGUUCCCUUUUUACAUUUUUUUGGUCAUCAUUCUUCUCUGUCUCUGCCCUUCUGUAGAAGUCCAGAUUGAAAAGACUAACUUGAAAGGUACAAUCAAAUAACAUCUCCAUCCUCUUUAUUCCUCUCCCUCUCAAGUUUAUUCCAGAUAGAGAAUUCCUUAAUUUCUCCAAGUAUUCCUGAUGCACCCAUCACCACAACAGUAACCCAGUCAUCCUGAAACCUGGCUGUGCAGUUUCCAGUAUUUGGGGCAGUGAUUAUGUGCUUCAUCCUAGAUCACUCUAAUCUUGUCAAGCAGAUGGGCCCAACAGUUUGACUGCAGCAGUUGGAAGAACGUGCUGUGAGCUGUGUCCCCUUUCCCACCUCCUGCAUGCCCACAGUUUAAAUGAUUGGCGUAACUGGCACAGACCCAGCACUUCCUGACAGUCAUCAUUUUGUGAAGUCAUUUUCCUUUUUCUUCUGAGAACAAAAUAUUUCUCUAGCUCUCCUAAGAUGGAAUCUUGGUUAUAAAUCCAAAAUACAGUGUGUACGAACUGUGAGGUACAGCCCAAACAGUUAUUAGAGGUUAAACUGGUCAGUAAUUCACACAGAUACAACAGAGAAGCUCAGUGAUGGUAGAAGCACACUAGCAAUUAACCCUUCAUGUAAAAGACUACUGUAGGCACUACAGAUAUGCUCCAGAGCAUGCACAGGGACAAGAAUGAAGGACAGCAGUGAGUUUGCACAUCUCAGCUAUUAUAUGAUGAAAGCUAAAAUAAGGAUGCUGCCAACUGCAAACAUAAGUGAUUUGCUACCCUACAGAAGAUGAAGCAUAUUCUCUCUGCUACAGUUCAAAAGUUCAGCUGCUGCCAAUUCCUACCUGAUGCAUAGAGAAGGGAAGGAUUCCCUUCUUUCUCCAUCUCUCUCCCUCACAUAUUCUACAGCACAGUGUCUCAGCUAACACAGGAAAGAGCACAUUGGCAAGACAAUCCUCCCACUUCCACAGAGGCAGGAAAAAAAAUCAUCUGUGAUGGCAGAAAAAGGAUGAGACAAGCCUCUGCAGAAGUCAGAUCUUCACAGUUGGCAUCAGUGAGCACAUUUCAUUUCCAACCCAAGUCUGCUAAAAUAAUGUAGGAGAAUCCUUCUUGUUUCUCUGCCAUACUUAGGCAGGAGUGAAGAAAAAAAAACAAAGCAAUCUCCUAUAAACCAACCAAGGUACACUAAAAUUCAGAUAUAUCAGAAAAAAUAACUUCAUGGUAGGAACUGGAAAGAAUGUAGAGACAAUCAAUAUGUAAAAAAUAAUUCAUGUUUUGUUUUGUGAGAUUCUGUUCAAACUCUACAAUUUGUGGUAGCUGAAUACCAGCAGUUCUGCUGGAGACUUGGCUGAGACACACUGCUCUCUGCCUGUUUAGGCUCCCACAUUUCAAGCACUACUAGUGAAAUUAUCUUUGGUAUGGUAAUUUCAAGCUAAGUAAAACCAGAUGAACAAUAAUUGAUUCCCCGAGGCACGCUGUCUCCUUUUGCUUCAAGAGCUCAGGAUGCUCUGUUGGCUCAAAGUGGAACCAACCACAUCUCUCUUCUUUCAGCAAAAUACACUGUUGCAAGGGCAAAAGCCUACAUGAGGAGGCAAAGCAUGCACAUUAAACAAAGACUGGCUGUAAGGUUUGGUCUUCUAGUCCACGUUAUGCAACAUGAAGUAACCACUCAGUCUUCAUUGUGUGGACUGUCCUCUGUGACCAACAAGCAUAUGUACCUCAUGGAUGCAGAACGCCCAUACUAUACACCCUUAUCUAUUUCAGACACUAGGAUCUGGUGCAGUCUACACAAGCAUGCUUUAGUAUCAUACAAGAGUUAUCACUAGAUGGGACUUGUAGAGAUCACCUAGUCCGUGUGCCUGCUCAAAGGAGGGUAAAAUACAGACAGCUGGUCAGAGACUAUUGCCCUUCAUACAUCUAGGCUAAAUACUUCCAGUCGCCACCUAAUCCAUUCUGUGAUUGAGAAUGGUUUCUAAGAGUAUCUGCUCACUUUACCUUGAGGUGAGGCUGACCAGGCUACAGUUCUCUGCAUCCUCCUUGCCCUUCUUGAAGACAGAACUGACAUCUGUUCUCUUCCACUCCUUAGGAAGCCACCCGUACUGACCUCAGAAGAAUGGAGUUAACUUUUAGGCUGAAUAAUGAACUGAUCUGAAGGUAGGAUAACAAGAAUGGGAGGCCCUUAGAAACAAACCACAGCAAUUAAGAACAGUAUCUAAAGGCAGUAAUAUUCUGUCAGCUGUUGUAGGUAGUGCCUCGUUGUGGCUUCUUUACAUAAACCAGAGAGAUCUGGACAAAGAUCAAAGCACUGAUGAUUUUAAGACCCAAAUACAGAAUUUAUGUUUAAAUGUUGGGCCACUUUAAUAAAAGAAAAUUGAUGACAUUAUAUAGUAUAAUGAGUUAGGCAGUUGAAGGAGCAUGCAUACAAAUAUUUGUCUGAUGUAAAACCAUACAACCAGUCCUGUAUGCUUUGUUCCUGCUGUAUGUGGGCUGCUGCUGUUUGAGCUAACAGUGUGCUGGAUUCGUGGAACUGCCACCUAGCACCCACCUUUGUGCAAACAUGAAACGAAACACCUCAGCUGUGAGUGCAUACUGGGGUGUUGCACACUGAGUGAACAACCCUGCUUUCGGGAUAACAUCACCUCACUGACUUGUCAAGGACAACGAGAACAACCUCACAAUGGCAUCGGUCAGGUCUCUCCAGCACUUUUGGGUGCAUCCUGUCAAGGUGCCCUGAGCUUCUUUAUACCCAUUUUGGUUUUGUGUUACUAACCUGAUCCUCCUCCACCAAAGAGAAGUUUUUUCUUAUUCCAGACUUUCCCAGGCAUCUCAGAGACAAGAUUUGCCUUCAGCAAUCCCAGAAGAGCCAGGAAAAGGUGAGACCAUGUGUCUUGGCCUUUUCUAUAUCCUUUGCUACUAGGUUUCCUGCCUGCAUUCAGCAUAUUUCUUUGCUCCUAGAAUCCCUGUAUAUGCUUUUGCCUUUCAUGAGAUUCAACUCCAGAUAGACUAUGGCUUUUUUAACCCAAUUCCUACAUGCUUUAAGACAGUGUUACCUGGCCCUGCUUCCACCUUUCAUACACUUCCACGUCUGAGUUUAGUCAGCAGCUUCUUGUUCAUUGGUGUAGACUUCCAGCUGUUUCAUUUCCUGUGUGAGAGAAUGAAUCAUUCUUGAGAUUGCAGUAACCACUUAGAUACGAUUUGAGAAGGUGCCUGCACGUCAGAGAUUGCAGGUCAUCCUCAGAUUUGUAGGGGGAAAGUACUUCAAUUACUCUGGAUUUGUUCUAGACCUAUUCUGUCUCGAAGAUCCUUCUUGCCUAGUUUUAAGGAGCAAAUGGAUUAAAUGCUUACCAAAAAAAAAAAUGUGAGAGAACAUAAUGUUCCUGUAACACACUUCUGACUCCAGAAGCCUAAAAUACAAGUGAAUAAAAAGAGGAGAAGUAUCAAAUAUAACAGGUUUUGAUACUGCAUUUUUCCUGACAAACCCACUCAGACAAUAAUGUAUUUUAAAUGGAUUGGGAAGAGCAGAGGGCUGGAAAGAGAAUUCCUGUCUCUGAACAAAAAGGUGCCUGUCUAGACAGCUGGAGCUGUGCCUGCAAAAGCAAUUAAAGCUGUCCACUUUGGAAACAGAUUUAGAUUUCAGGCUCUGCAGUUUACAAGUAACAGUCCAACACGUAAGAAAUGACUCUUUUCAUAAUCUCUACAAUUCACCAUUUAAAUCACUUCUUAAUGGAAACUGAAUCUAAUUUUGCCACAGAAGGGGAAUGAUGCACAGAUGUCUCCCCGGCUGUAAUCAACUUUCAGCUGAGCACAUUGAGCAGACCAAGAGUUCUCACACAGAAUAAAUGACAAUCUUCGUUUC
Molecule: RNA transcript, 7086 nt
Organism: Pogoniulus pusillus (Red-fronted tinkerbird)
Lineage: Eukaryota; Metazoa; Chordata; Aves; Piciformes; Lybiidae
Gene: ZDHHC2
Gene name: zinc finger DHHC-type palmitoyltransferase 2
Exons: 14
Source: RefSeq, a predicted model, not a curated record